UCUUUUUCAGAUCCAGCUGCAGUCGGGUGGACAGUGCGCUGAGCCCAGGCGCCGGCCAAGGGGCCUCUUCUGCUGGACUAACGGCACUCACUCACUCCCCCACUCCCCCACGAACUUUUCCAGGAAUGUUGCGUGAAAUCGCAUUCACAGCUUGACGUCAGCCAUGGCCAGACAUUACAUCACAGAAAAGAGCAAAUGCUAUUUCGUGAGCACGUUACCGGUCAGCAGUGACCAAGACCCAGUGCCUGCCCUGGCAGAGCUCUGUCCUAAGGAGCGGGGCACAAACACACGGGAAUAUGAUAAAUGCUAUGAUGGAAAAGCAUGGAACCCACGAGAGCAUAUCAUAUAAACGAUCCCAAGAAGGCUUCCCUAGGGACGUGAAAUUUGAAACUUGAAGGACGAGGAGAUUUAAGUAGACAAAGGAUGCAGAGAACUGUGUUUCAGGGAGAAGGAACAGCAUGUGCAAAGCCCUGUGCCAAGAGAGAGAGAAGGUAAAUCUGAGCGAUGUUGCUGGAGGAGGUGGCAACAGAGUAGGAAUGACGGGACCAGUUUGGUGUGGUGAGCAUCAAGGCCAAGUGUGGCUUCAGGCAAAACUAGGACUUUGAUUUUUAUGCUGAGACAAUUUGAGCAAGGCUCUCCUCGGAUUGCACUGGGGAUGAUCUUGUCCGUUCCUUCUUUUGUACUGCAUCACACCAGAAGAUUCUAUGAACUCAUUUUAUGGUACAGAUCUUUCUAUCUCCUUUACAGCUGAGGAGGCAGGAGACUGCUCCAUCCCUUCCUGACAUGGCUUUUGCUAAUGAAGAAGACUUGCAUUUCAAGCUGGGCGCUGUGGCACACGCCUGUAAUCCCAACAGCUCGGGAGGCUGAGGCAGGAGGAUCAGGAGUUCAAAGCCAGCCUCAGCAAAGGUGAGGCCCUAAGCAACUCAGUGAGACCCUGUCUCUAAAUAAAAUAUAAACUAGGGCUGGGGAAGUGGCUCAGUGGUCGAGUGCCCCUGGGUUCAAUACCUGGUACCUGUCCACCCACCCCCAAAUAAAAACACUUUCAUUUCAAAAAUCAGCCUCUGGAAGUUCUGAUGAGACCAGAAUAAGUCAAAAGGCAGAGCUGGAGACAGCAGCACUGCACUGGCAAUGAAAUCUGUUUCAUGGCUUCCCUUUAGCCCAAGAUGAUCUCUGAAGUGAGGUCAGGGGUCAGUGUGGGGGCCAUCAGCUCACGACAGAACAGCCUGAGCGACAUGGUCAGAGAGAAGACUCGGGGCCCAGACAGCCGCUUCCAGCAUCUCUGGUCUUGGUGUGGGGGACAGAGCCAACGUACCCGUGACCACAGAGGACAGGAUGAGGACCAGGAGGGGGCACUUAGAAGUGGGCCACCUAUAGUCCACAAUGAAGAAGGCCUUCCCUGACUGGCCGAGGCGGGCCAUGAGGUGGUUCUUGGUAACUGGUCUUGCAGAAAUCCGGGGAGCAGACCUCUCUUUCUCCCCGACACUUGGAGAGUGCUCAGAGCCUCUGCGGUCAGGGGGUGGUCAACGCUGCUCUCCUGCCGGUGCUUCCUGCUCCUGUGUGGCCUUGAGGCAGCUGCCCAAGCUCUCUGGACUGCAUCGAGAACUGCGGUCAGUUUUAGUAGCCGCCUCGCAGAGCUGU
RNAcentral lists this long non-coding RNA (1638 nucleotides) under Marmota monax (woodchuck). Lineage: Eukaryota; Metazoa; Chordata; Mammalia; Rodentia; Sciuridae. The record is from RNAcentral.